Molecule: ribosomal RNA, 253 nt
Filed under: uncultured bacterium
Lineage: Bacteria
Description: partial 16S ribosomal RNA
Rfam family: Bacterial small subunit ribosomal RNA
Source: RNAcentral
UACGUAGGGUGCGAGCGUUAAUCGGAAUUACUGGGCGUAAAGCGUGCGCAGGCGGUCUUGCAAGACAGGUGUGAAAUCCCCGGGCUUAACCUGGGAACUGCACUUGUGACUGCAAGGCUGGAGUACGGCAGAGGGGGAUGGAAUUCCGCGUGUAGCAGUGAAAUGCGUAGAUAUGCGGAGGAAUACCGGUGGCGAAGGCGGCAUCCUGGACCGAUAUUGACACUGAUGAGCGAAAGCCAGGGGAGCAAACGGG